RNAcentral lists this transfer RNA (93 nucleotides) under Halobacillus sp. BAB-2008. RNAcentral describes it as "tRNA-Ser". The record is from RNAcentral. Lineage: Bacteria; Bacillati; Bacillota; Bacilli; Caryophanales; Bacillaceae.
ACACAACCUUUAUAAUUAACGCGAUGAUAGGAAAUAGUAGCACGUCCCUUCUCCUUGAAGAGAGUCAGUGGCUGGUGAGAACUGACGGGGAAG